RNAcentral lists this long non-coding RNA (3401 nucleotides) under Theobroma cacao (cacao). RNAcentral describes it as "long non-coding RNA (TCAC_LNC001745)". The record is from RNAcentral. Lineage: Eukaryota; Viridiplantae; Streptophyta; Magnoliopsida; Malvales; Malvaceae.
CCAAAGCAAGAACAAAGGAAGAAAAAGGAAGAACAAGAACCCUAGGGUGAAAAUUCAUUAGAAAAUUGGUGGAUUUCAAGUAAUCAAGCAAUCAAAGGUAAAUUUUCUUGAUUUUGACUUGUGAUCUACCUUUUCCAUGCGUUAUUUUACAUUUUUCAUGGUUGAAUCACAAGAUAUCAUGAAGGAUAGUGUGCUGAUCAAACCCUAGGAGAGAGGUUUUGAUGCUUGAUUUAGUUAGAUUUCAAUGUAUUUUAGUGUUUUUAGUUGAUUGGUGAUGUGUAGCAUGAAAAUCAAGCAAGAAAAAUUCAUGUUCUCCCAUCACCCAUCAUUGGCCGAAUUCUCCAUGUGGAAUGUUGAGGAUGAUUUUGAUUUUAUUUGAAGUGAUUUGGUUAGGAAUUAGUGAUUUAUGGUGUGAGAAUAAAAUAGGAAAAAUUAUAGUGUUGAUGCACCCACCAUGGCCGAAUUUUCCAAGAGAAAAUAUGAAAAUGAUUUUGCUAGAUUUUAUGCUAUUUGACUUGUGUUUGAUGAUUUGGAGUAUUGGGAGAAAAAUAGAAUUUAUUUGGAGUUGAAUUGGACGUAUUGGCCAAUUAAUCGAGUGAUAGAUUGAAUUAGGCCAAUACCGUUUAAUUUAGGUACACAAUUGAAUUUGUGUAGAACACCGUGUUUAGACAAUAAUCUGAAUAAUUUGCAUCCCAUUUCAUACAUUAGUAUAAAGCCUGAAUUGGUUUUAUAACAAUUUAGCACAAUGUAGUAAAUGGCUUAUUGUGCAUUAUGUCUAUGUGGUGAGCAUUUUGGCAAAAGUAAAGAGAUAGUACCCGAGGAUCAAGAAUCGGAGUACUUGGAAUUCGACUCCCGAAAUAGUGAGUAACCUUACUAUCGUCUUAAUUAUCUAAAGUGGUUUUUAUCCGAUUUUGUGAUUUUAUGGGAAAUGAGUUUAAGUGGUAAAUCUUUAUGUUUUAUAAACAAAAUAUGUUUAAAUGAAAUGAUUUUAUAAAUUGUCUUGAAAUUGAAUGAUGGCUUUGAAAAUAGAGUAAUUGGAGACCACUUGAUGUGUUGUAAUUUAUGGUUCUAAUUGAUGGCUUAUGAUAAUGUGUUGGCAUGACUGGCUGGAAUUGUGGUUUGUGAACUGUAUGAAUUGUUCUGUUUUACAUUUACAGGUUGGGUAGUAUAAUAUGAGUCAUGUCAUGCUGUCAAAAUUUUAUUAUAUGGUGGGUUUAACUUGCUGCAGUGGGCGGGUUUUCUGUGGACUAGCUGAUUAGAGGGGCACGAAAUCCCGUUAUAUUUUACCUCAGUUGGAGAGGCGAGUAGGGUAACUCCCGAGGUAUAACUUUAGAGUCACUUCACGCCAAACCACCACGUGAGGGUGAACUCAACCAACUCCAAGGAACGACUAUGUUUUCAAAAUAAAAAUAUGUUUAUGUGUAUAUGAAAUUUUAACAGCCUUGGCGGACUCGGUUGGGAUAGCCCUCGAUCAAGGCAUCCUUGAUAAUUGGGUAUGAGAAUGAUUUUGGCACGAGCCAAAGUUUUAAGAAAUUCAUAAGCCAUGUUGAUUACUCGAUUUAUAUGAAUUGAUUUUAUUUGGUUGAAACAAGUUGAAAAGUGAUGAAUUACAGUAUGUUAAACUAUUUUAUCUGUCUCCAUUUACUCGGCUUUAGAUAUUUUAGAUGGUAUUUGUUUACUCACUGGGAUUAUAUAAUCUCACCACCCUCCUUUCCACCCAUUUCAGGCUCAGGAUAGUCUAUAGAUAGCUGAUUUCAUCGAGGACCACCAUUGGAUUUGCAUCCUCCAAACUGUAGGUUCACAAUCUUUCUUACUUUUGGUUAUUCGAGGGCCCACUUGCUACUGUAAAUUAAAUUAAAUACUCUGACUUACUGUAUUACAAUAUAUAUGAAUUUAUUUUGCUUUUACGCUGUAAAAAUUAUUUAUGCAGUGUUCUAAAAAUAUUGUUUUAUGAGAAAAUUGAAUAUUUUAUUCAAUAUUUUUAUUUUAUUCUAAUAGUCAUAAUUUCAUUUUAAACGAAUGUUUUAGACAUCCAAAUUUAUUUUUGAUUAUGAAAUAUGUGUUUUGCACCCGUAUACUACAUUUUUUGAGGAUUUCGAGAUUAAUGAGGAAAAAUGACCAAAAUGCCCCUGUGAGAAAAAAUUGUUUUUCUAUUGUUUUGAUUUGGAAAUAGUUUAUAAUCUCUCAAAACAUAAUUUUAGUGACUAAUACUCACAGAGGAAGCGAGAAAAACUGAUGUUAAGCCUUGCGAGAUUUCGAUUGACAUUCCGGGUAAUGAAUGUCUAUUAGGACGUCACAGCGGUUUUCACGGGCUCGAUGGGAGUUUCGGGUCGUGACAAAGUUUAAGGCUUUAUGAUGUUUUGUCAUAAUAUUUUGUUGGAAUCAUCCCUUCUUCGAUGCAAUUUUGAUUUGCACCUGUAUUAAAAAGUGCUAUUGUUGAAAUUCUUCGUUUAUUAAAAGGUGUAUUUUAAUUAAGUAUUUUUGUAUUGAUACUUAUGUAAGAACCAUCAUAUAUUCUUGUGAUUCUUCUAGUUCUGCCUUUGUAUCUGAGGAAGAAUUUUUUAUUAGAGCUCUUGAAUUUUGGAAGAAUUCUAUUUGGUUUUUAAUUUCUCUUUGUUCGCUCCUGAGUUUGGAAAAUUCCACUUUUAUUUAUUUAAUUUCUGAUUGUAAUUCUACAUUUGUUAUCUGUCUAGGUUUAGAGGAUUCAUAUAUGUCAAAAAGAAUAUCUUUUAUAUUAUACAUGUGUUCUUGAUUUGUAAUUGUGGGUUUUUCUAUUUUUUCUUUCAUUGAAAUUUUUAAUUUCUCAAGAUAUUCUCUUUUCAAUGUUGAGUUUUGAAUUUUAUCAAUGAUUUCAAUCAUGAGUUCUUAGCCUUUGGUUAGGACAUUAAUUUGUUUUUCAUUAUUUGUUGAAGAUUGAGAUGUAGUUUGUAUUUCAUCUAUUUGGAACUCACUUAAAGAUUCUGUGUUUUCAGACAUCUCAUAGUCUGAUGUUGUUGAUUCUAGUAGAAUUUCAUUAAUUUUUUGUUCAAUUUCUUCAUCUAGGUGAAGUUCGUUUACUUUUCUUCUAAUUUUGCAGGAUUUUGAAAUGUGACCAGCUAUUUCGCAUCUAAAACAUUUUAUUGUUUUGUCUAUUUUACUUUCUUCAUUUUGCUUUUGUUUCUCGUUUCUAUGCCUCUUGUAUUUUGGUUUGUUGUAGUAAUCCAAGGUACUUUUCUUAUGUUUUUUUUUUGUUUUGGUUUUGUAGGACAACAAGUUUUUGAAGAAGAAGGUUCAUGUUUGAUGUCAAAUUGUUGACAAAAUGAUCUUAAUUCUUUUUUGUAAAGAUAUCUUUUCUUUUUUAAUUGUUUUUAAAGUUUUAAAUCUUGGCAAAUUUUUAAUCCCUCUUUUUGGGUGAAGCUUAU